CCUACGGGUGGCAGCAGUGAGGAAUAUUGGUCAAUGGGCGCGAGCCUGAACCAGCCAAGUCGCGUGAGGGAAGACGGUCCUAUGGAUUGUAAACCUCUUUUGUCGAGGAGCAAACCACGCCACGCGUGUCCUUCCGAGAGUACCCUACGAAUAAGCAUCGGCUAACUCCGUGCCAGCAGCCGCGGUAAUACGGAGGAUGCGAGCGUUAUCCGGAUUUAUUGGGUUUAAGGGGUGCGCAGGCGGAAGAUCAAGUCAGCGGUAAAAUUGAGAGGCUCAACCUCUUCGAGCCGUUGAAACUGGUGUUCUUGAGUGAGUGAGAAGUAGGCGGAAUGCGUGGUGUAGCGGUGAAAUGCAUAGAGAUCACGCAGAACUCCGAUUGCGAAGGCAGCAUACCGGCGCUCAACUGACGCUCAGGCACGAAAGUGUGGGUAUCGAACAGGAUUAGAUACCCCAGUAGUC
RNAcentral lists this ribosomal RNA (459 nucleotides) under uncultured bacterium. RNAcentral describes it as "partial 16S ribosomal RNA". It matches the Rfam family "Bacterial small subunit ribosomal RNA", at positions 338 to 795 of the family's 1533-position model. The record is from RNAcentral.